This 2634-nucleotide long non-coding RNA is filed under the name Sus scrofa (pig). RNAcentral's name for it is "lncRNA (ENSSSCG00040060727.1)". The record is from RNAcentral. Lineage: Eukaryota; Metazoa; Chordata; Mammalia; Artiodactyla; Suidae.
GGCCACACCCACAGCAUAUGGAGGUUCCCAGGCUAGGGACCCAGUUGGAAUUACAGCUGUGGGCCUAUGCCACAGCCACAGCCACGUCAGAUCCAAGCUACAUCUGCGACUUACACCACAGUUCUCAGCAGUGCUGGAUCCUUAACCCACGGAGCGAGGCCAGGGAUCAAACCUGCAUCCUCAUGGAUUAUAGUCAGAUUCAUUAACCACUGAGUCACGAUGGAAACUCCCAUUGAUGUGUAAGUUUUUAAAAAGAUUUUCAUGAAUAUCAUACCGAACAUACAUUAAGUAUCACCCUGUACAUUUUUUACAUUAAGUGAUGUAUUUCAGAUCCCACUGUUAGUUUGUUCUUUUAAGCAUCCCAUUAUAUAGAUACUCGAGUCAUCCAUUUCUUAAGGGAUGGGCAGGCUGAUGAUUUACACUGUUUCUAUUGCGGACAGAGUGGAAGUGGUAUAUCCCCUCUGUGCACAUGUUCACAAUGUUCUUUAGAGUGUGUGGUGUGCAUGUGUAUGUAGGUACAUAUUUUGUAUGUUUAUAAAUCAAAGCAGAAUUACAGGGUCAUAGGGAAUACACACAUGAGUUGCAAGUAUAUUAUCAACGAAUAUUUCUCCAGCAAUUCAUGAUAAUUUUCCUUUCUUUAUUCCCUCAGCAGCACUUGAUCUUGCCACACCAUGAAAUGUUUGCUAGUCAGAUGUGUGAGAAAUUGUGUUUCUCAUUACUAUUUCAGUUUGAAUGCCCCAGAUUAUUAAGGUUGGGGAUAUGCUUAUCAGGCAUUUAAGACUGAUCUUAUGUGAAUUGCCUGGACACUCCCUUUACUCAUUUCUCCGCAUAUUUUUUGUCUUUUACUUACUGAUAGAGUGUUUCCUUGGAUACUUAUCCUUUGUUACACAUGACGAAAGUAUCUUUGAUUCUCUGGGUGAUCUCAUAACCAACAUCUGUUGUUACAGACCUGCUUUUUGUGCUUUUCUUUUUUAAUAUAUAUUCGCUUUAAGUUGUGAAGUAGUGAAAUUUACCAAUCUCAUUGUUUAUAUGGUAUUUUUUGGGGUUAUAUGUAUGAAUUUCCCUGUAACCUAUUUUAAGAGCAGUUAGAUAUUCUCCCAUGAGUUCCUGUGAUGAUUUUAAGGUUUGGUUUUUGACAUUUAGGUUCUUCCAAGGUUCUAAAUUAUACAUUUUAUUCCCUUCCCCUUCGUACUCAAAAAUGAUUUAUGCCUCACUCGGCCCCGGGUAAAGCUGUCCUUCCUUUUCCUGCCCGCCCCCCUUUCCUUCUCUUUCAUAAGUCUUUGUACCAUGAAUCCUAUUCUACACGAGGAGUCCUUAGCCAAAGCUUUUGUCUUAGUUCAUAUACGUAUUCUUAGUUCCCAGUGUAGUACCUAAAACAGAAUAGGUACUGAUGGAGAAGUGUACUAGCACAGUUUUAGGUGUAAUGAGGGGAACAGAGUGUUAAACUCAUGAGAGUAACACUGUCUUCUCAGCAAGGUGAGACAUCCCUGAAAUGGCCUUCAUGCUAAAAGCGACAGACUGGAGAGCUUCUCCAGAAGAGGGAGAGAGUAAAUAAGAAGAGGGUUUUUGGUGAGGCUGCCAUGGAAGGAAGAUGAAAAGCCAGUUAAUGUAUUGCCUUGGGUCAUGAUAAAUUCAUUGUUUUUUUAUUUUGUCUUUACUUAUUUAUUUGAAUUGAAAUAUCACUGAUUUACAAUGUUGUGUUAGUUUCGGGUGUAUGGCAAGGUGAUUCAGUUAUACACACACAUAGGUAUACGUGUAUAUGUACACAUAUAUGUAAAUUUUUUUGGUCUUUUUAUCUUUUUUUAGGGCUGCAUCCAUGGCAUAUGGAGGUUUCCAGGCUAGGAGUCCAACUGGGGCUGUAGCCACAGGCCUCUGACAGAGCCACAGCAGCACCAGAUCCGAGCCAUGUCUGUAACCCACACCACAGCUCAAGGCAACACCAGAUCCUUAACCCACUGAGCGAGGCCAGGGAUUGAACCUGUGUCCUCAUGGAUGCUAGUUGGGUUUGUUAACUGCUGAGCUAUAACAGGAANNNNNNNNNNNNNNNNNNNNNNNNNNNNNNNNNNNNNNNNNNNNNNNNNNNNNAAACACACACACAUAUAUAAAAUCUUAUAUAUAAAAUCCUAUAUAUAUAAAAUCUUACACACACACACACACACACACACACACACACAAAUCUAUUCUUUUUCAGAGUCUUUCCCAUUAUAGGUUAUGGUAAGAUGUUGAAUAGAGUCCCUGUGCUAUACAAUAGGCCAUUGUUGGCUAUCCAUUUUAUGUAUAGUACUGCAUGUAUGUUAAUCCUAAAAUCCUGAUAUACCCCUCUCCCUUCCCACUUACCCUUUGGUAACCAUAAGUUGGUUUUCUAUAUCUAUGAGUCUUUUUUGGGGGUGUUUUUUUGUUUGCUUUGUUUGGGGGGGCACCGCUGUGACAUGUGGAAGUUCUUGAGCCAGGGAUAAAAUUGGCACCACAGUCAUGACCUGUGCCACAGCUUCAGCAGUGCUGGAAGGAACCUGCUGCACCACAAGAGAACUUCUUCUGUUUUAUAAAUAAGUUCACAUGUCAUUUUUUUUCAGACUCUGCUUAUAUAUGUGAUAUCAUAUGGAAUUUGUCUUUUUCUGACUUGCUUCACUCAGU